Molecule: ribosomal RNA, 497 nt
Filed under: uncultured bacterium
Lineage: Bacteria
Description: partial 16S ribosomal RNA
Rfam family: Bacterial small subunit ribosomal RNA
Source: RNAcentral
GACGAACGCUGGCGGCGUGCCUAAUACAUGCAAGUUGAGCGCUGAAGGUUGGUACUUGUACCAACUGGAUGAGCAGCGAACGGGUGAGUAACGCGUGGGGAAUCUGCCUUUGAGCGGGGGACAACAUUUGGAAACGAAUGCUAAUACCGCAUAAAAACUUUAAACACAAGUUUUAAGUUUGAAAGAUGCAAUUGCAUCACUCAAAGAUGAUCCCGCGUUGUAUUAGCUAGUUGGUGAGGUAAAGGCUCACCAAGGCGAUGAUACAUAGCCGACCUGAGAGGGUGGUCGGCCACAUUGGGACUGAGACACGGCCCAAACGCCUACGGGAGGCAGCAGUAGGGAAUCGUCGGCAAUGGACGAAAGUCUGACCGAGCAACGCCGCGUGAGGGAAGAAGGUUUUCGGAUCGUAAAACUCUGUUGGUAGAGAAGAACGUUGGUGAGAGUGGAAAGCUCAUCAAGUGACGGUAACUACCCAGAAAGGGACGGCUAACUACGUG